GACGAACGCUGGCGGCGUGCCUAAUACAUGCAAGUCGAACGCCGAAGAGAGGAGCUUGCUCUUCUUGGAUGAGUUGCGAACGGGUGAGUAACGCGUAGGUAACCUGCCUUGUAGCGGGGGAUAACUAUUGGAAACGAUAGCUAAUACCGCAUAACAAUGGAUGACACAUGUCAUUUAUUUGAAAGGGGCAAUUGCUCCACUACAAGAUGGACCUGCGUUGUAUUAGCUAGUAGGUGAGGUAAUGGCUCACCUAGGCGACGAUACAUAGCCGACCUGAGAGGGUGAUCGGCCACACUGGGACUGAGACACGGCCCAGACUCCUACGGGAGGCAGCAGUAGGGGAUCUUCGGCAAUGGGGGCAAACCUGAACGAGCCACGCCGCGUGAGUGAAGAAGGUUUUCGGAUCGUAAAGCUCUGUUGUAAGUCAAGAAAGGGUGUGAGAGUGGAAAGUUCACACUGUGACGGUAGCUUACCAGAAAGGGACGGCUAACUACGUG
Molecule: ribosomal RNA, 497 nt
Filed under: uncultured bacterium
Lineage: Bacteria
Description: partial 16S ribosomal RNA
Rfam family: Bacterial small subunit ribosomal RNA
Source: RNAcentral